AAUUAUUUUAUAUAAAAAUAAUAAGAUUUUACUACUAGUAAGCUAAACCAUUAAGUUUUAGUCUAAUUUAUAACCUUUUUUUUUAAGUUACUAGCCCAAAAAAUUAGUGCCUAUUCAAGCCCAAAUUACAAGUCCAUACUCCUAAUAGGAUCAGGAAAAUAAAACCCCAAAACCCUCACAACUCUUACUCUCUCUCACGUAAGAAAAGAAGAAAAGAAAAUCCUCACUUCCCUUCUCCUCUUUCACGUAAAGCACAAAAAAAAAAAAAAAAACCUCACGAAGCUGCUGCCCAGCCGGCGUCUGCACUGCCGCCUCCCCUCACCAGACGCCGCCGCGCCACCAGCAGCCACCUACACGCAGGACUCAUUGUUAGUAGUUACCACGCAGUUACCACUCGCUGUAUUCCUUUUCCCCAUUUUCACAAACGCGCAAAUUUUCUCACUUCUCUGAAACUGCUCUAAAGUGAAAGCUCCUCAAAAACUCCUCUAAAGCUUCUCCAAAACUCAUUCAUCAAAAAAUAUCGUCAAGUUGUACCUGUGGCUGUAUCAAAAGACCAAUGAAACUUGUUGAACCAAGUCUUGGGGCAGCUAUUGCAAUAAGCCUUGCGGUUAACCAUAUAAAAGCAGAAUUUUACUACAAAUUUGACAUCUAUUUUUCCUUCUUGUAAUUAGUAGGAAAGUGAGAUGAUGGUAUCAUUUGAUACUUUGUGCUCUAUAUUAUGAGGGUUCAAUAUUAUUUUAAGCUUAUUCUACAAGCACUUUUAAAAGGGUGAACGACUUAAGAGAGGAUGAUUUCUACAAGAAGUUCUCGGAUUGUUAUGUUUUAGAAAUCACAAUGCUCUAUUUUGUUUGGUUCUAAUCAUAUCUUAUCACUCUGUUCUUUUAGGAUGACAUACAUGUCCUUUGUAGUUGAAAGUUGGUGAUAUAUUUGUAAUUUACAAGCACGUCAUGUUCUAUAUUGUAUAAUUGAUGAUGUAAUGUCGAAUUAAUUGGGCCUUACGUGGUUUAGAUUAAUAUUUAUUGUAUUUAUUAUAAAAGUUGGGUUAAUAAUU
This is a long non-coding RNA of Chenopodium quinoa (quinoa), 1051 nucleotides long. RefSeq lists it as uncharacterized. The transcript has 5 exons. The record is from RefSeq and is a predicted model, not a curated record. NCBI's taxonomy places the organism in Eukaryota, Viridiplantae, Streptophyta, Magnoliopsida, Caryophyllales, Amaranthaceae.